RNAcentral lists this non-coding RNA (173 nucleotides) under Streptobacillus moniliformis. RNAcentral's name for it is "Lysine sequence". It matches the Rfam family "Lysine riboswitch aptamer". From Rfam's summary of the family: Riboswitches are metabolite binding domains within certain messenger RNAs that serve as precision sensors for their corresponding targets. Allosteric rearrangement of mRNA structure is mediated by ligand binding, and this results in modulation of gene expression. Lineage: Bacteria; Fusobacteriati; Fusobacteriota; Fusobacteriia; Fusobacteriales; Leptotrichiaceae. The record is from RNAcentral. RNAcentral also lists the same sequence under 1 other name.
UAACGAGAUAGAGGUGCAAAAUUCAAAAGUAAAAUUUAUGAGCUCGUCAAGGCUGUGAUUAAAUUUAAAAGGGAAGAUUGCCGAAUUUAUGUAAUUGACAAUUACAUAGGUGGGAUUACAAAUAAUAUUUGUAAUACUGUCAUUAUGAAACAUAAUGUUGUGCUAUUGGUUAG